Molecule: transfer RNA, 64 nt
Filed under: Mogannia minuta
Lineage: Eukaryota; Metazoa; Arthropoda; Insecta; Hemiptera; Cicadidae
Description: tRNA-Met
Source: RNAcentral
UAAAAGAUAAGCUAUAAAUAAGCUAGUGGGUUCAUACCUCACUUAAGGAAUAAUCCUCUUUUUA